GAUGAACGCUGGCGGCGUGCUUAACACAUGCAAGUCGAACGGCACUACACCAAUGAGAGUCUUCGGAAGGGAUUGGGUUUCGUAUAGUGGCGGACUGGUGAGUAACCCGUUGGUAACCGGCGCUAAACAGGGGGAUAAUAGCUGGAAACGACCGUUAAUACUACAUAAGCGCGCAGGAGCGCAUGCUCCCGUGCGCAAAACUCUGGUUGUAUAGGAUGGAACCGCGUCUGAUUGGCAGGGUGGCGGGCGAACGGCCCACCAAGGCGACGAUCAGUAGCCGGGCAGUGAGGGUCAGCGGCCACAUUGGGGCUGAGACACGGCGCGGACUCCUAGGGGAGGGGGCAGAGGGGAAUAUUGCACAAUCGGGGAGACCCUGAAGCAGCUACGCUGCGUGAGCGAAGUAGUAUCGAAAGAAGUAAAGCUCUAUAAGCAGGGGAGGAUAUGACGGUACCUAACGAAUAAGCCCCGGCUAACUUCGUG
Molecule: ribosomal RNA, 480 nt
Filed under: uncultured bacterium
Lineage: Bacteria
Description: partial 16S ribosomal RNA
Rfam family: Bacterial small subunit ribosomal RNA
Source: RNAcentral